UACAGAGGGUGCGAGCGUUGUUCGGAAUUAUUGGGCGUAAAGGGCGCGUAGGCGGUGCGGUAAGUCACCUGUGAAAUCUCCCGGCUCAACCGGGAGCUUGCAGGCGAAACUGCCGUGCUGGAGUGUGGGAGAGGUGCGUGGAAUUCCCGGUGUAGCGGUGAGAUGCGCAGAUAUCAGGAAGAACACCCGUGGCUAAGGCGGCUCUCUAGUACGGUACUGACGCUGAGACGCGAAAGCGUGGGGAGCGAACAGG
Molecule: ribosomal RNA, 253 nt
Filed under: uncultured bacterium
Lineage: Bacteria
Description: partial 16S ribosomal RNA
Rfam family: Bacterial small subunit ribosomal RNA
Source: RNAcentral